Molecule: transfer RNA, 75 nt
Filed under: Scyris indica (Indian threadfish)
Lineage: Eukaryota; Metazoa; Chordata; Actinopteri; Carangiformes; Carangidae
Description: tRNA-Lys
Rfam family: tRNA
About the family: Transfer RNA (tRNA) molecules are approximately 80 nucleotides in length.
Source: RNAcentral
CGCUAAGAAGCUAAAUCGGUACAGAGCGUUAGCCUUUUAAGCUAAAGAUUGGUGACUACCCCCCACCCUUAGCGA